CUCAGCCUCGUCUUCCAAGAUGUUCCCCUUUCCAAAGAGGAAUUCCCCAUUCACAGACUUUCUCCAGCAUUCGGGAGUGUAGGAGGAGCCCCAGUUCCCAGUAUUUUCCUUCAAAUAAUUACCAGCAGCAACAGUAUUAUUCACCUCAAGCCCAAACUCCAGAUCAGCAACCAAAUAGGACCAAUGGAGAUAAGCUCCGAAGAAGUAUGCCUAACCUAGCCCGGAUGCCAAGUACAACUGCCAUUAGUAGCAACAUUAGUUCUCCGGUCACCGUGCGAAAUAGUCAGAGUUUUGACUCAAGCUUGCAUGGAGCUGGAAAUGGAAUUUCAAGAAUACAAUCUUUUCCAUCACCGGGACAGCUUCAACACAGGGUCCACAGCGUGGGGCAUUUCCCAGUGUCUAUCCGACAGCCUCUUAAAGCCACAGCCUAUGUGAGUCCAACCGUUCAAGGCAGCAGUAACAUGCCUUUAUCAAACGGCUUACAGCUGUAUUCCAACACAGGAAUCCCCACACCGAACAAAGCUGCAGCUUCUGGGAUAAUGGGUCGCAGUGCACUCCCAAGACCUUCGUUGGCAAUAAAUGGGAGUAACCUGCCUCGAAGCAAAAUUGCACAACCUGUUAGAAGUUUUCUUCAGCCUCCAAAGCCUCUGUCUUCACUCAGCACUCUGAGGGAUGGAAAUUGGAGAGAUGGUUGCUACUAAUGCAGUUUUAUGUACCCUUGAAAAAUGGGAAAGAAGUAAAAAUGAGGGUUGUGUUACCUAGCUGGCUGGGUAGCAGUGGAUGUUGGGAUAUUCUUUCCCUUUUGUGUUUUAAUAUAUUUACUGCAUUGUUUCUCAAUGGACCAGUCACCAGAGACUAAUUAUUGCACUUAAAUAUUUGCCUGAGAUACUGCAACAUUCUCAAACCCAUGGUUGCAGUAUUGUGACACUUAGAUCUAGGAAGUUUUUGUAGAACUGCUCUGUACCUGAAUACUUUUUGAGAGAAUUAAGAUGUAUCAAUAAUGCUUUGCCAUAUGAGUUUUUUAAAGUAACUUGUUCAAUUUACUCACGUGUUCUAAACAUCUUUCCAUUACAUGUUCUGUAUUUUAAUACAUUGCAUAUUGACAACUAGGUUCUAUAAUGUAUGCUUUGAAAUUUACUUUUUUAUAGUUUACAGGAAUUUUAUUUUUUGUGCCUAUUUCUUUUUACACCUAUGUGAACCACUAUGGAACAACUUAAAUUUUGUGCCAUAAAAAUAUUUUUGUGGUAAGGUACUAUUUUUUUAGCUCUAGGGAUAUAUCAGCAAAAACACAUCAUGCAAUUUGAGACACAUAAUUUUGUGUUGAAUGAGCACAACAUAAUUUGAAGCAUUGCAAGGAGAUAACCAGACAGCAGAAUUAAAUGGUCCUGUCUUUUUCAUUUUUAAUUUAUUGUCAUACAUGGGUUUCAUAUUUAUAACGGCAUCAUGAGCUCAUUGCACUUAAUACCUGCAAUGUUUGCUACUGUACCACAAUUGAUUUUCAAUACUUUAUUACGAAGGAUGAAACUGUAAUGUUUUAUUAACAAUGCUUCUGGAAAUGAAUGCAUUUUAAAGCAAAUAAAUCUUUUUGAUAGACCUUUUACAAAAUCCAUUUGCACUAAUGAAUGCUUUCUUAUGGCAUAUAACUUAAUAUUUGUUACUGUGUACACUGCUGUUUUGGAAUGUUCAGAAAUAAAGACUCUAUUUCAGC
This 1708-nucleotide long non-coding RNA is filed under the name Homo sapiens (human). RNAcentral describes it as "long non-coding RNA NONHSAT165958.1". The record is from RNAcentral. Lineage: Eukaryota; Metazoa; Chordata; Mammalia; Primates; Hominidae.